GGGUUUUUAGCUCAGCUGGUGGUAGCGCAUGACUGUUAAUCAUGAGGUCCCGGGUUCGAUCCCCGGAAAACCCG
This 74-nucleotide transfer RNA is filed under the name Lachnospiraceae bacterium. RNAcentral's name for it is "tRNA-Asn". It matches the Rfam family "tRNA". Rfam says of the family: Transfer RNA (tRNA) molecules are approximately 80 nucleotides in length. Their secondary structure includes four short double-helical elements and three loops (D, anti-codon, and T loops). Lineage: Bacteria; Bacillati; Bacillota; Clostridia; Lachnospirales; Lachnospiraceae. The record is from RNAcentral.